AGUGAACGCUGGCGGUAGGCCUAACACAUGCAAGUCGAACGGCAGCACAGUAAGAGCUUGCUCUUACGGGUGGCGAGUGGCGGACGGGUGAGGAAUACAUCGGAAUCUACUUUUUCGUGGGGGAUAACGUAGGGAAACUUACGCUAAUACCGCAUACGACCUACGGGUGAAAGCAGGGGAUCUUCGGACCUUGCGCGAUUGAAUGAGCCGAUGUCGGAUUAGCUAGCUGGCGAGGUAAAGGCCCACCAAGGCGACGGCCCGUAGCUGGUCUGAGAGGAUGAUCAGCCACACUGGAACUGAGACACGGUCCAGACUCCUACGGGAGGCAGCAGUGGGGAAUAUUGGACAAUGGGCGCAAGCCUGAUCCAGCCAUACCGCGUGGGUGAAGAAGGCCUUCGGGUUGUAAAGCCCUUUUGUUGGGAAAGAAAAGCAGCAGGUUAAUACCCCGCUGUUCUGACGGUACCCAAAGAAUAAGCACCGGCUAACUUCGUG
This 492-nucleotide ribosomal RNA is filed under the name uncultured bacterium. Its description in RNAcentral is "partial 16S ribosomal RNA". It matches the Rfam family "Bacterial small subunit ribosomal RNA", at positions 29 to 507 of the family's 1533-position model. The record is from RNAcentral.